This 156-nucleotide ribosomal RNA is filed under the name Saccharomyces cerevisiae (brewer's yeast). Its description in RNAcentral is "5.8S ribosomal RNA". It matches the Rfam family "5.8S ribosomal RNA". Rfam says of the family: 5.8S ribosomal RNA (5.8S rRNA) is a component of the large subunit of the eukaryotic ribosome. The record is from RNAcentral. Lineage: Eukaryota; Fungi; Ascomycota; Saccharomycetes; Saccharomycetales; Saccharomycetaceae.
AAACUUUCAACAACGGAUCUCUUGGUUCUCGCAUCGAUGAAGAACGCAGCGAAAUGCGAUACGUAAUGUGAAUUGCAGAAUUCCGUGAAUCAUCGAAUCUUUGAACGCACAUUGGCCCCUUGGUAUUCCAGGGGGCAUGCUGUUUGAGCGUCAUUU